Solanum stenotomum is the source of this 1670-nucleotide long non-coding RNA. RefSeq lists it as uncharacterized. The transcript has 3 exons. The record is from RefSeq and is a predicted model, not a curated record. Lineage: Eukaryota; Viridiplantae; Streptophyta; Magnoliopsida; Solanales; Solanaceae.
CCCCAAAUCCUCUGUUCCCUCUCUCAAAAGUCAAAAACCCCUCCUCUAUCCUUGCAUAAGAUGGAGUGUUACCGUAGUCUCUCUUCCCACCUCUGUAUCUUUAACAAUCCAUCAGGUUCUUUUUCUCUCUGCAAAACUUCAUGCAUUUUCCGUGCAAACCAGUGAAGAUGCUUGUAUAAGCAAGAAGAACUAUGGAAAUGAAAGACACAAAAGAGCUUUUAGAAAAACAAUAUUAGGAGACAUUCGGUAAAAAGGAUCAGAUCUACCCUAAAACUACGGAUUCUUCUCAAAAUUAUUGGGAGUGUUCGAUAUGUGCUAUCAAUGAAAGGUUUAUUUCAUAGGUAUCAGAUGCAGGCACAAAUAAGAUUGACUAAAAAUAAAAGGAAGUUUGUGCAAAGAUGAGGUUAAAGACCCCGCUGAUGAAGUAUGCAAACAAAAUCUUGUAAAGAUGAAACGAAUACAUCAAGAACCCUGAAAUGAUGGAUGGUCUUGAAGACUCACAUAACCAAACAUCAAGAGUGAAUCAGUGGAGAGACAUUAAGGACUUGAGUAUGUUUUUGGUAAUAACAGGACAUUAACAAGGAAUAUAUGGUGUGCUUGAGCUCUACUUUUAAUUACAUCUCACAACAUAUAAGUAAGAAAUUCCUAUAUUCAGAAACUGACGAGCAUAAUAUUUCUGGAUAUAGAAAGGGUGUGCUUGGCUGAUUUGCUUGUCAUUUUUCUACUGAUUUCACCUAGUCGACAAUGAUAAAGUUCACGUUAUACCUCCAAUGUGUUCUGUUUAAUUCAUUAUCCUAAAGUUCUAUAUUGCAUAACUUGGGGCACAAAUGAAGUAAGAGUAAAAAUUACAAAAUGCUAACUUCUAAUAAUUAACUUGUUUGGCAUGAACUUGGUUGGAAAUUUGUGCCUAAUGAAGGUAGGUGCCAAACAACAGAAUUCUUCAAUUAGUAUUUUUGAUUAGUAUUACUGAUAUAGCUUCAGUAACGAAAAGAAUACUCCAUAGUAUACCUAUUUGUUGUGUGAUCUCUAUCUAAAAAUGUGGAGCCUGCGCAUAUCGUUGCUCUAUUAUUUACUUCCACAAAAUAAAACUAAAAGAAGAUCUCACUUGUGAAAUUAUAUUAGCUAUGUUAUUGCAUGUCACUAGAGGAAGUUGGUUGUUUGGAGUGUCUCCCUUUGGAGGAAGGAAAUGUCUUAUCUCUCAGUUUCUUUCCAAGUCUUUGUUGUCUACUUCUGCCUCUUUUGAUAGUAGAUGUACCGUCGUAAUCAAACGUAUCUUUGAGAUGAGGUUGAGUACAGUCUUCUUCAUUGUUCAAGUUAGAGUCGGUGAGCUCCAUGUGACUGUGACUCUGUUCAGCAGCGUCAUCAUCUGAUUGCAGCUUCUGUUUUUCACCAUGUGUAGCAUGAAAUCAUCCGGAGAAGAGUCUGGUUAUUAUUGUUAUCAAAUGCUUUCUUACUGUAAGUUUGUGCAUUUUCUUCCUCAUUGUUCAACUUUGAUUUGGUAAGUACCACGCCACUGUUUUUUUCUGAUUGUAGUAUAUGUUGUUCACCUUGAGAAGUAAAAUCAUAUCUUCUGUCAACUCAUCUAUCAGUGGCCCUCCUUCUUGGAUUUUAGCUUCAGCACAAACAUUUUUGGAGACACUUAAAUGAAUGUUGACGUUAUCCUCUCUUUU